RNAcentral lists this transfer RNA (73 nucleotides) under Spirochaetes bacterium ADurb.Bin133. RNAcentral describes it as "tRNA-Met". It matches the Rfam family "tRNA". Rfam says of the family: Transfer RNA (tRNA) molecules are approximately 80 nucleotides in length. Their secondary structure includes four short double-helical elements and three loops (D, anti-codon, and T loops). Lineage: Bacteria; Pseudomonadati; Spirochaetota. The record is from RNAcentral. RNAcentral also lists the same sequence under 1 other name.
CGCAGGAUAGAGUAGUUGGCAGCUCGUCGGGCUCAUAACCCGGAGGUCGUAGGUUCAAAUCCUACUCCUGCUA